CUCCUUUCCAGCAUCUUUCAGAGGUCACGUUCAUGCCCUGAAAAUAUAUCAAUUUAAUCCUCUCCCUUCUGAAUUCUUUUUGAAAACUGGACCUUGGGAUUUUGAUACCAUCUGAAUAAAAAUGAAGGAGAAGUAGAAAAUAGAGAUCAUCAAAAUAGGAUCUCCAGGUGCUGCAGAGGAGCCAUGCCUAGAUCUGAAGACCAGAAGUGAGCUGAGCAAAGAGGAAUGGGCAGGAACUGUUGGCCAGAAGCUGCACCUGGACAUGAGGAAGAAGUUCUGCCCUGUGCAGUGACCAAGCCCUGAUCAGAUUGCCCAGAGAGGCCGUGGGGAGGUGGCACCAGGUGACCCCAGGGGUCCCUUCCAGCCUUACCCAUCCUGUCAAAUCCUCCCUGUGAAAUCCUUCCUGAUGCUCUUCAGGUUUUCUCUGCCCACCUGCAAUCCCUCUCCAGGUUUCUCUUCCUGGCACUGGCACCAAAUUAGCAGGAGUGGGAUGGAUUAAGGUUUCCCUUCCCCAAAAACUGUAAAUUAAAGCCCUCUUGU
Molecule: long non-coding RNA, 540 nt
Organism: Passer domesticus (house sparrow)
Lineage: Eukaryota; Metazoa; Chordata; Aves; Passeriformes; Passeridae
Exons: 2
Source: RefSeq, a predicted model, not a curated record